AGACGACUUUUCCUCUCCCAUUCAUCCGUCUGCCAUCUCCUAACUUCUCCUCUCAAAUCUCUAAUGUUGUCGAUGGAUUCAGCACCAUAUCCGCCGCUGCGCAUCCUCCAAACCCACCAAGGCCACCGCUGCGCAUCCUCCAAACCCACCAUGGCCGCCGCUGCACAUCCUCCAAACCCUAGAUCUGAUACUGGAGCACUCUAGAUAGUUGCUUUAGACCUGGGCUUAUGGUUCAAAGAAUGUUAUUUUUGUUUCAGUUGCUCCGGACCUGGGAUUUUGGUUCAAAGAAUAAUUGAGAUGACUUUUGUAGGUCACAUUGGUUAUAACAUAGGCAAGACCAAGAAACACGCUUGGAGUAAUAAACAAUAAAUAAUAGCCAAAUCAAAGAAACUCAAGUUUUGCUAUGCGAUUAAAGACAACAUGAUUUCAAACUCAAGUUUAGCAGUUUUUGGCAGUUUUUUCUGUGCGUUACGCAAUUUUUGUGUUGGGUUAAUGUUUCAGAUCUAGAAUGUCACCUGCCUAUGAUUUGUUAAUCUAGCCGAACAGGAGAGCCAGCGUUGACUCGAGGUAAAGUCAACAAGUUUCUUUUACACUUUUAUUUAGUAUUAGUUUGUUCAAUAGUCUAUAAAAUCUAUUAGGGGAAAAACAGGUUGGUUUCUUAGUAUGUUUUUCUUUUUGGCUUAUAUGG
This is a long non-coding RNA of Helianthus annuus (common sunflower), 688 nucleotides long. RefSeq lists it as uncharacterized. The record is from RefSeq and is a predicted model, not a curated record. The transcript has 4 exons. NCBI's taxonomy places the organism in Eukaryota, Viridiplantae, Streptophyta, Magnoliopsida, Asterales, Asteraceae.